This 2571-nucleotide ribosomal RNA is filed under the name Triticum aestivum (bread wheat). RNAcentral's name for it is "partial small subunit ribosomal RNA". Lineage: Eukaryota; Viridiplantae; Streptophyta; Magnoliopsida; Poales; Poaceae. The record is from RNAcentral.
AUGCCCCCACCCGUGAUGGCGCGCGCAGCACCCAUCCCCAGCUGCCGCAGCGCCGGGGCCGCCGCAUCUCCCCCCUCAUCCUCUCCUCGCGCGCGUAUAUAUACCCGCGCGCCCUCUCCCUCUUCCCGCCCACCGCUCCUCGCCUCUCCGCCCCUCCGCCUCCUCCCCGAUCCCAAACCCACUCCUCGUCGGUGUUCGUUUAGGAUUCUUGCGGCGGUCAAGGGGGCGGCGUUGUCCGGCCGGCGGAGCGCGAGGGAGGAGAAGGAGGAGGAGAUGACGAUCGAGUCGUCCGUCAGGCUCGCCGGCGGGGAGCUGACGGUCCGCGGGCGCACGGUGCUGUCCGGCGUGCCGGACGCGGUGUCGGCGUCGCCCGCGGCGGCCCGGGGCCCCGUCGACGGCGUCUUCCUCGGCGCCGACCUCGCCGACCCGGCCUCCCGCCACGUCGUCUCCCUCGGCCACAUGAGGGGCGUGCGGUUCAUGGCGUGCUUCCGGUUCAAGAUGUGGUGGAUGGCGCAGAGGAUGGGGGACAAGGGCGGCGACGUCCCGCACGAGACGCAGUUCCUGCUGGUGGAGUCCAGGGGCCCCGGCGCCGGCGAGGAGGAGGAGGACGAGGCGUCGUACGUCGUGUUCCUCCCGCUCGUGGAGGGCGCGUUCCGGGCCAGCCUCCAGGGCGGCGGCGCGGGCGGCGACGAGCUCCAGCUCUGCGUCGAGAGCGGCGACGCCGGCACGCGCGCCAGUUCCUUCGACCGCGCGCUCUUCGUGGGCGCCGCGGAGUCCGACCCUUUCGCCGCCAUCGCCGGCGCCGUCGCGGCCGUCAGGUCCUGCCUCGGGACCUUCCGCCCGCGCGCCGAGAAGAAGCUCCCCGCGAUCGUUGACUACUUCGGGUGGUGCACGUGGGACGCCUUCUACCAGGACGUCACCCAGGAGGGCGUCGAGGCCGGGCUCCAGAGCCUCGCCGCCGGUGGUGCGCCGCCCAAGUUCGUCAUCAUCGACGACGGCUGGCAGUCGGUCGGCACCGACAAACCGAGCCCUGACAUGGACUCCCCCGGCGAGGCCGGCAACGGCAAGCCGCCGCCCCUUCCCCGUCUAACCGGCAUCAAGGAGAACAGCAAGUUCCAGAGCGGCGAGGAUCCGGCCACCGUCACGGGCAUCGAGACGCUGGUGCGCGCGGCGAAGGAGAAGUACGGGCUCAAGUACGUGUACGUCUGGCACGCCAUCACCGGCUAUUGGGGCGGCGUGCGGCCGGGCGCCGCCGGGAUGGAGGCCUACCGCUCCAGCAUGCAGUUCCCCAAGAUCUCGCCGGGCGUCGCGGAGAACGAGCCCAACAUGAAGACCGACGUGCUCACCCUGCAGGGGCUCGGCCUCGUGCACCCGCAGGCCGUGCACCGCUUCUACGACGAGCUCCACGCGUACCUCGCCGCCGCCGGCGUCGACGGCGUCAAGGUGGACGUGCAGUGCGUCCUCGAGACGCUCGGCGCCGGCCACGGCGGCCGCGUGCAGCUCACCAAGGAGUACCACCGCGCGCUCGACGCCUCCGUCGCCAAGAACUUCCCGGACAACGGCAUCAUCGCCUGCAUGAGCCACAACACCGACGCCCUCUACUGCUCGAAGCAGACGGCGGUGGUGAGAGCGUCGGACGAUUUCUUCCCGAGGGAGGCGGUGUCGCACACGAUCCACAUCGCGGCGGUGGCGUACAACAGCGUGUUCCUCGGCGAGUUCAUGCUCCCGGACUGGGACAUGUUCCACUCCCUCCACCCGGCCGGCGACUACCACGGCUCGGCGCGCGCCAUCAGCGGCGGGCCCGUCUACGUCAGCGACGCGCCGGGGAGGCACGACUUCGAGCUGCUGAGGAAGAUGGUGCUGCCGGACGGCACCGUGCUGCGCGCGCGGCUGCCGGGCCGGCCGACCAGGGACUGCAUGUUCGCGGACCCGGCGCGCGACGGCGCCACCCUGCUCAAGAUCUGGAACAUGAACAGGUUCACGGGCGUGCUCGGCGUGUACAACUGCCAGGGCGCGGCGUGGAGCUCCGCGGAGAAGAAGAACGUGUUCCACCAGGAGGCCGGCGCCGGCGCGCUGACCUGCGGCGUCCGGGGCCGCGACGUCCACCUCAUCGCCGAGGCGGCCACGGACGGCGGCGCCGGGUGGGGCGGCGACUGCGCCGUGUACCGCCACGGCGCCGGUGACCUCGUGGUCCUCCCCGACGGCGCGGCGCUGCCCGUGUCCCUCAGGGUCCUGGAGCACGACGUGCUCACCGUGUCGCCGAUCAAGGAUUUGGCGGCCGGGUUCAGGUUCGCGCCGGUGGGCCUCGUGGACAUGUUCAACGGCGGCGCGGCGGUGGAAGGCCUGACUUACAGCCUCCUCGCCGACGGCGAGGAGGCGGUCGGGCUGGUGAGCAUGGAAGUGCGAGGGCGCGGGAGGUUCGGCGCCUACUCGUCGGUCCGGCCGAGGAGUUGCACGCUGGGUUCUUCUCCGGUGGAGUUCUCCUACGACGCCUCCGGCAUGGUGAUCCUCGAGCUGGAGUCCAUGCCAUUGCCCAAGGAAAGGGUUCACAGGAUCGCCAUUGAGCUGUAG